This 1995-nucleotide long non-coding RNA is filed under the name Lotus japonicus. Its description in RNAcentral is "long non-coding RNA (LJAP_LNC000844)". Lineage: Eukaryota; Viridiplantae; Streptophyta; Magnoliopsida; Fabales; Fabaceae. The record is from RNAcentral.
CACAAAAGAAGCCAUACAAGUACUCAUCUCCUCCACCACCCCCGUACAAGUACUCAUCUCCCCCACCACCUCCGUACAAGUACUCAUCUCCUCCUCCUCCACCCUACAAGUACUCAUCUCCUCCACCACCCCCGUACAAGUACUCAUCCCCUCCUCCUCCACCUAACAAGUACCCACCCCCCCCACCACCCCCAUACAAGUACUCAUCCCCUCCUCCUCCACCAUACAAGUACUCAUCUCCUCCACCACCGGUCUACAAGUAUAAGUCCCCUCCUCCUCCACCUCCUUACCAUUACUCUUCACCCCCACCACCACCAAAGAAGCCCUACAAAUACUCAUCUCCUCCACCCCCAGUUUACAAAUACAAGUCUCCUCCUCCUCCUGUCCAUUCACCACCUCCACCACAUUAUGUAUAUUCAUCACCUCCUCCUCCCGUCCAUUCCCCACCUCCACCACAUUACAUCUAUGCUUCACCUCCUCCCCCUUACCACUACUAGAUAGUGGUUUAGCAUAGCAUCUCAUGGUAAGCUUCUUCGUGCAACCUAUAUUAUCAUGUGUGACAUUUUACAAAUUAAGUUUCAUUCGAAUAAUAUAUCUACAAAGUUACAAUAUCUGUCCAGGGUCGGCCCUGGGCCCGUGCAAGCAGGCCCACAACCCAGGGCCUCCAAAAAAGAAGGGGUCCCAAAAAAAAUUCGAAUACUUUUUACAGCGUUUUUACUUAAAAAAGCGCUGUAAAUAGUCAAUCUUUUACAGCGCUUCAUACCGCUGUAUACUAUUUAACAGCGGCGAGAGGUUCGAAGCGCUGUAAAAAGCCCUUUUUUUGGCUUAGUGAUUCUAUUAAACUUUCUCCAAAAAAAAUUUAGUGGUCCAUUUUUAUUAUUAACCCAGGGCCUCCAAAAUGUCGGGACCGGCCCUGUAUCUGUCUAUUCAGCAGUUCCAUGGUUAACCAUAUUAAAAACCAAUUUUCCCAUGUAAACCAUAUUUUAUGAUUAAAAUUUAAUACAUAUUAUUUAUAAUAUAGUUGUUACGUGUUAAAAUUAAUACGCAAAGAAAAUUAAACUCCUAACUUUUUUAAACCAAAAGAUAUUAUAUUAUUAACAACAAACCUCGAGACUAUCAUUUUCAAAUUGAUGUAAUUUUCUAUUCAAUUUACCCAAUCCAUGGCCAAAUAUGAAUCUCUCUCAAUAAUCACAUUGGUGAUAUUAUGAACUGCAUGUUUUUUUUUUUCAUGGUAGAGAAAGCCGUCUCUAUUUCUCUAGUAUAAAUAAAUAAAUAAAACAUAAUUUCAACAAAAUUAUUUUAGUUUAAAUGCUUGGUUGCAUUACCCAUUUCAAGAGUUGUGAUAACCACCAAAGAAGCCAUACAAGUACCCUUCUCCUCCACCACCAGUUUACAAGUAUAAGUCUCCACCCCCACCAGUUUAUAAGUAUAAGUCCCCACCACCACCACCUAAGAAGCCAUACAAAUACCCUCCCCCCCCACCACCAGUUUAUAAAUACAAUUCCCCCCCCCCCCCACAAAAAAAGCCAUACAAAUACCCUUCACCUCCACCACCAGUUUAUAAAUACAAGUCUCCUCCACCACCACCAAAGAAGCCAUACAAGUAUGCUUCACCUCCACCUCCAGUUUAUAAGUACAAAUCUCCACCACCACCAGUCUACAAGUACAAGUCUCCUCCACCUCCAGCAAAGAAACCAUACAAGUACCAUUCCCCUCCACCACCAGUUUAUAACUACAAGUCUCCACCACCACCAGCUUACUAAUACAAAUCUCCUCCACCUCCACCAAAGAAGCCAUACAAGUACUCAUCUCCUCCACCACCCCCAUACAAGUACUCAUCUCCUCCUCCUCCACCAUACAAGUAUUCAUCCCCUCCACCACCCCCUUACAAGUACUCAUCCCCCCCACCACCGCCAUAUAAGUACUCAUCUCCUCCUCCUCCACCUUACAAGUACUCAUCUCCCCCACCACCUCCGUACAAGUCCUAAUNNNNNN